RNAcentral lists this ribosomal RNA (468 nucleotides) under uncultured bacterium. RNAcentral describes it as "partial 16S ribosomal RNA". It matches the Rfam family "Bacterial small subunit ribosomal RNA", at positions 28 to 507 of the family's 1533-position model. The record is from RNAcentral.
GACGAACGCUGGCGGCGUGCUUAACACAUGCAAGUCGAACGGAAAGGCCCUGCUUUUGUGGGGUGCUCGAGUGGCGAACGGGUGAGUAACACGUGAGUAACCUGCCCUUGACUUUGGGAUAACUUCAGGAAACUGGGGCUAAUACCGGAUAGGAUCUCCUGCUGCAUGGUGGGGGUUGGAAAGUUUCGGCGGUUGGGGAUGGACUCGCGGCUUAUCAGCUUGUUGGUGGGGUAGUGGCUUACCAAGGCUUUGACGGGUAGCCGGCCUGAGAGGGUGACCGGCCACAUUGGGACUGAGAUACGGACCAGACUCCUACGGGAGGCAGCAGUGGGGAAUAUUGCACAAUGGGCGGAAGCCUGAUGCAGCAACGCCGCGUGCGGGAUGACGGCCUUCGGGUUGUAAACCGCUUUAGCCUGUGACGAAGCGUGAGUGACGGUAAUGGGUAAAGAAGCACCGGCUAACUACGUG